This 433-nucleotide ribosomal RNA is filed under the name uncultured bacterium. Its description in RNAcentral is "partial 16S ribosomal RNA". It matches the Rfam family "Bacterial small subunit ribosomal RNA", at positions 29 to 507 of the family's 1533-position model. The record is from RNAcentral.
AACGAACGCUGGCGGCAUGCCUAACACAUGCAAGUCGAACGAGACCUUCGGGUCUAGUGGCGCACGGGUGCGUAACGCGUGGGAACCUGCCCUUAGGUUCGGAAUAACUCCCCGAAAGGGGUGCUAAUACCGGAUAAUGUCUUCGGACCAAAGAUUUAUCGCCUUUGGAUGGGCCCGCGUUGGAUUAGCCAGUUGGUAGGGUAAAAGCCUACCAAGGCGACGAUCCAUAGCUGGUCUGAGAGGAUGAUCAGCCACACUGGGACUGAGACACGGCCCAGACUCCUACGGGAGGCAGCAGUGGGGAAUAUUGGACAAUGGGCGGAAGCCUGAUCCAGCAAUGCCGCGUGAGUGAUGAAGGCCUUAGGGUUGUAAAGCUCUUCUACCCGGGAUGAUAAUGACAGUACCGGGAGAAUAAGCUCCGGCUAACUCCGUG